This 71-nucleotide transfer RNA is filed under the name uncultured archaeon. RNAcentral's name for it is "tRNA-Gly(gcc)". It matches the Rfam family "tRNA". Rfam says of the family: Transfer RNA (tRNA) molecules are approximately 80 nucleotides in length. The record is from RNAcentral.
GCGCUGCUAGUUUAUCGGUAGAACUUCUCGUUGCCAACGAGGCGGGCCGGGUUCGACUCCCGGGUGGCGCA